Molecule: long non-coding RNA, 628 nt
Organism: Rosa rugosa (rugosa rose)
Lineage: Eukaryota; Viridiplantae; Streptophyta; Magnoliopsida; Rosales; Rosaceae
Exons: 4
Source: RefSeq, a predicted model, not a curated record
UGUUCUAUUAAUGCUCUUUGGUGCUUGGACGAGUUGAGCUUUUGCAAAGGAGGUUGUUGAUGAAAUCAUAUUGCAGAAUAAGAAAAAAGACCAACUGGAAGCCCAAGCAAGGGUAGCUAAGCAAAAAAUCUAGGGAUUGAAAUUAAAAGCAGAAGAUGAGUACAUAUUAAAGGAGCUGACUAUUGUUAGACAGAGUUUUCUUGUUGGAGAGCUGUUAUUGUUGGCUGUGCUGCUAUUGCUGGAGUUGUAAGGAGCUAGCUUGACUAUGGGAGAGGAGAGGCAACAGUCAAUAUACCCAAGCAGACAUAGAUAUGAUGCGAAAUGAAUGGGCAAAGUAUGUCGUGAAGGCGUAUGUGUAGGAGCUAAAGGAAAGCAUAAGAGGAAGUAGGUUGUUGCUGAAGGAAAGCAUCAUUUUUGUGCUUCUCUGCUGGUACAAUAUUCAUGCACUGUGUGGCAUGUUUUGUAACAAAUAGUUUGUAUUUGUAUCAGCUUUUGAUGUCCCAAGUAGAUGGGCAUGCAGUUGAAUGCUUUACUUCUUUCAAAGUUGGCUUGGAUGAUUGGGAAAUCCUCCCUUUUAACAUUUGAAUGCUUUUCUUCAAAUAGUAUGAGUUGGAUUACUCAUUUCAUA